This 87-nucleotide transfer RNA is filed under the name Candidatus Wildermuthbacteria bacterium RIFCSPLOWO2_01_FULL_48_35. Its description in RNAcentral is "tRNA-Tyr". It matches the Rfam family "tRNA". From Rfam's summary of the family: Transfer RNA (tRNA) molecules are approximately 80 nucleotides in length. Their secondary structure includes four short double-helical elements and three loops (D, anti-codon, and T loops). RNAcentral also lists the same sequence under 4 other names. The record is from RNAcentral. Lineage: Bacteria; Candidatus Wildermuthiibacteriota.
GGGGGUGUACUCAAGCAGUCAACGAGGGCAGACUGUAAAUCUGCUGGCCGUAGGCCUACGUAGGUGCAAAUCCUACCGCCCCCACAA